Molecule: ribosomal RNA, 481 nt
Filed under: uncultured soil bacterium
Lineage: Bacteria
Description: bacterial SSU rRNA
Rfam family: Bacterial small subunit ribosomal RNA
Source: RNAcentral
AGAUUGAACGCUGGCGGAAUGCUUUACACAUGCAAGUCGAACGGCAGCACGGGACUCAGGCAACUGAGCCCUGGUGGCGAGUGGCGAACGGGUGAGUAACAUAUCGGAACGUACCCAGUCGUGGGGGAUAACUCUCCGAAAGGAGAGCUAAUACCGCAUACGUCCUGAGGGAGAAAGCGGGGGACCUAAGGGUAACUGAGGGCCUCGCGCGAUUGGAGCGGCCGAUAUCGGAUUAGCUAGUUGGUGAGGUAAAGGCUCACCAAGGCGACGAUCCGUAGCGGGUCUGAGAGGACGACCCGCCACACUGGAACUGAGACACGGUCCAGACUCCUACGGGAGGCAGCAGUGGGAAUUUUGGACAAGUGGGGGCAACCUGAUCCAGCCAUUCCGCGUCGAGUGAAGAAGGCCUUCGGUUGUAAGCUCUUUCAGCAGGAACGAACGGUGGUACGUUAAGUACGGUACCUAGUUAAUGACGGUACUA